UGCAAGCCCUCGACCCCAACCACGCCACACCAUUUGCUUUUGAAAUUAUCCUUAACAAGAUUUUGAUUACACUAUGUUAGACUUGGAAAGAUUGACCAAACUUAAAAUGCCAGAAGAGUAAUCUCGGUUGAUAUGUGAAAUUCCAUAUAUCAUUGGAGAUGACGAAGAGGUGGAAUCAGAGUGCAGGAAAUUGUCGAACCUUGAUGAACUAGAAGUGAGUCAACAACUAGAGAUCAAAUCGAAUUAAAAAAACGAACUGAAAAAGAAAAAAAAAUUAAAAUGACAAAUUUACCUCUGAUCUAAGUUGGU
Molecule: long non-coding RNA, 309 nt
Filed under: Linum usitatissimum (flax)
Lineage: Eukaryota; Viridiplantae; Streptophyta; Magnoliopsida; Malpighiales; Linaceae
Description: long non-coding RNA (LUSI_LNC006755)
Source: RNAcentral